CUGUCUCUCUCUCCUCCCUGUGCUCUCUUCUCCGCACUCUCUCCUCUUCUUCUCCUCCUGCUCUUCAUCUUCUGUCCUCUGUCCUCUGUCUCUCUCUCCUCCCUGUGCUCUCUUCUCCGCACUCUCUCAUCUUCUUCUCCUCCUGCUCUUCUUCUUCUUCAUCUUCUUCAUCAUCUUCUUCAUCUUCUGUCCUCUGUCCUCACUCCUUUCUCCACUGUCCUCUGUCCAACUGGCGGCCUCACAUGUUUACUGAACUAGCAGAGAGCAGGUGGAGAGUUUUGUCAGAAAGAACAAUCAACAACAGCAGGUGAAGAAGAACACACAACAAUGCUUACUAGCAAGACCUGAUGAACCUGAGAAAAGAUUCCUUGAAGAGGACCAACAGACAGGGUGUGAUGUGAAACAGCCUCUCCUUAAAGGUUACCAUAUGGUUAUGACUGAAUCAUCUGUGGUGUGAUUUUUACAACGGGCAGACAGAGCUACACCAAAUGCUUUCCCUCCACUGUUGCAGUAGAUAUGCAAUCUCCAUUGGUACAAUCUGCAAUAGCCCAGCUUUAUAGCAUAAAAAGUGGCAGGGCUGCCAUUUGGACUGGAAAAAAAG
This 601-nucleotide long non-coding RNA is filed under the name Salmo salar (Atlantic salmon). Its description in RNAcentral is "lncRNA (ENSSSAG00000095869.1, ENSSSAG00000102361.1)". The record is from RNAcentral. Lineage: Eukaryota; Metazoa; Chordata; Actinopteri; Salmoniformes; Salmonidae.